UUUCACGCCGGUGAAAGAGGAGCACUUUCCCUGUGCUUGCUGCAAGGUUUUCUGCUCCCUCGCCUUCUCCUCCUCGCCAUUCGCUGUUCCUCUUCUCCUUCGGUGUGUUCGUCGAUGUGCUUUGCUGAGUGAUAAUGGCGAACGCGAGGUGAUUUGAGAAGGGCUUUGCUGCUGUGAUUGGUUGUUCUUGGUUUACUUCACCCUGUUGCUUCGGUGGACUUUCUGGUGAUCUGAUCUGUUCAUCUAGCUGUUUGGUCUUGCUGGUGGUGGUGGGUGAGUGUUGGGUGCGCAGGCUCUGGGAUUACCAUGGGUGAUACUUCAAUUGAUAAGCUUUUUGAAGGGGAUGACAACUCCCGUCUUCUUGCCCGGGUAUCUAGGCUCUGGGAAUUCACUGAUUGCAAGGAUGCUACCAAAAUUUAUCACAUCGAUCUUGUACUUGUUGAUGAGAAGGGUGGCAGCAUUCAUGCACAGAUAUUCCCUCCACUUAUCCAGGUGUUCAAGCCUUUGCUGGCAGAAGGAAAGGUUUAUUAUUUGGAUUCAUAUCGUGUGAAAACAUCCAACAAAAGCUAUAGGCCAGUGGCCAAUCCACUAAUGAUGACUUUCACUAAGUGGACAUCUGUUGAGCAAUGCCUUGAUGUGCCUUUCAAUUUCCCUACUGUUGUAUACUCUCUGACUCCUUUGAACGAGGUGUCAAACUUUGUGGACAAGAAUGAGUCCUUUGUUGAUGUCAUCGGGUUCAUUACUGAAAUAUCUACACCUACGAUGCUACGUCCUAAGUCAAGGGAUGUUAGCAGCUUGAAAAGGACAGUUCAGAUAUGUGAUACAAAGUAAUGUUUCCUAUAUAGCUCAAUUCUUAGUUCAUGUUUACUUAAUUUUGUUAACCACUAAUGUCUAACGAAAAAAGUUAUCAAACAAGGCUAACAUCCACUCUAAUAAAGUUUACCUAUCUUCUUAACAUAUCUGCCACAUUUUCUCCUUCUAUCUUUUACACAAAUAGCAAUUCUACCUUGAAUGUAUCUUUGUGGGCUGAACAAGCACUGGCAUUUGAUGCUGAGAGUAUACACAAAGCUGGACAAAGUGAGCCUCAAAUUGUUCUGUUUGUUGGGACCCUUGCAAAGAACUAUCCUGGCAUAGGGUUAGCUCUGUCUGGAGGCUCUGCAUGCAAGUGGUACAUUAACAUAGAUGUACCUGAGAUGGUUGAUCUAAAGAAUAGGAUUGGAGCAAACUUCCAGCCAAUCAAACUACUUCAGGCACCAGCCACAAACAUUGCUGAUGAAAUUGCUGAUGACAAAACUGUGAGAGAACUCUUGGACAUGAAUCCUCAUAAAAACAGGAGGUCUCGAUUUCAAGCAAAUUUGACUAUUCGGAAAAUAUGCAACGAUAGCUCUUAGUGGUACAAUUCAUGCGAAAAGUGUCUUAGGGUUGUCAAACCAUUUGGUUACACCUACAAGUGCACUGGUUGCUACAAUAUUGCAAUGGCAGUACCAAGGUACAAGUUAUCGGUCUUAGCUGGGGACGAUACUGCGGAUGCUGUGUUUAUUCUCUUUGGGAAAAUAGCUCAGCGCAUUGUGCGAAAGCCAAUUGAGCUUCUUGUCGAGCAGACACCCAAGGAGAGCAAAUUUAUCCCUGAUGCAAUAACAGCUCUGCUUGAGAGAUCAUUUACAUGAAAUGUCAGCUUCACAGAGAAUACACUUAGGACUGGGGAUGUAUCAUUCCAGGUUAACAGUGUGAUCUCCAUGAGGGUUCUUGGGGAACCUCUUAUGCUAAUGUCCCUAGGACCAGCAGAUUCUCCUGGUUCUUCAGCUAUCAUGUCACCUAGACCAAGCACUUCCAUCAUGUCACCCACAAGAACAUCUGAGAUUGCCAUUUCCUCACCUCCAUCAGCUACAAUAGCUUCUCCAGUAACCGGGCGUGCAGCACCUCAAACACCAACUAGCAGACUUUCUUUGGCUACCACAGAGCAAGCAAGUCAUGUUGAUCCACUGUCUCCACCCAUAACUCAAGCAGUGGCCUCUGAGAGUACAGAAAUGGUACUGCUUUCCAUGCUUACAAAUGUUUGCUAUAAACUAUAAGAAUAUGUACAUAUCACAGUAAGAAGCUAGCACUUUACUUGCAGAAACAGAAGGCUAUUAUUAUUUCUGAUGACAUCACGCUGCCACUGGCUGCAUCUAUUCCAAACAGCUCAACCAAGAAAAGAACCCGCCCACUUCAGGCUUCACCAACAGCUAAAAAACUGUUCACUGAUGAUGGUGCUCAGGAAAAGGAGGAAAAGGAGGCUACUGACAGCCUGUCAGAUACCGCUUGAUCAUAUGCUCAUCUGGCUGAACUAUUUUGGGCAUUGACUUAUGGAAUCUUCAUGGGCAUGUGAAAGAAACAAUAGCAUGCUCACAUGUCUAGAUCUUUUGCUCCAGACUUUACUCCAGACUUUAGACAUUUAUCUCUUAUUAAUUAGUACCAAGUGAAAAUGUACUGAGAUUUCUUUUGGACAACUACCUCUAUGUAUAAGUGCACCUAUUAUUAUUAUGCCAGCUAUCAUCCCACCACAUGCUCAUGGUCCAUUACUAUUGCAUCUGCGAUAGCAUGGCAAUGAACCCUGAACAGUUGGCUCGGGCAAAGCUACAUGGCCC
Oryza sativa Japonica Group (Japanese rice) is the source of this 2627-nucleotide long non-coding RNA. RefSeq lists it as uncharacterized. The record is from RefSeq and is a predicted model, not a curated record. Lineage: Eukaryota; Viridiplantae; Streptophyta; Magnoliopsida; Poales; Poaceae.